GACGAACGCUGGCGGCGUGCUUAACACAUGCAAGUCGAACGGAAAGGCCCUGCUUUUGUGGGGUGCUCGAGUGGCGAACGGGUGAGUAACACGUGAGUAACCUGCCCUUGACUUUGGGAUAACUUCAGGAAACUGGGGCUAAUACCGGAUAGGAGCUCCUGCUGCAUGGUGGGGGUUGGAAAGUUUCGGCGGUUGGGGAUGGACUCGCGGCUUAUCAGCUUGUUGGUGGGGUAGUGGCUUACCAAGGCUUUGACGGGUAGCCGGCCUGAGAGGGUGACCGGCCAAAUUGGGACUGAGAUACGGCCCAAACGCCUACGGGGGGAAGAGGGGGGAAAUUUUGAACAAUGGGGGGAAGCCUGAUACAACAACGCCGGGUGCGGGAUGGGGGCUUUGGGGUUGUAAACCGCUUUCGCCUGGGACGAAGGGGGGGGGCAGGAAAUGGGUAAAGAAGCACCGCCUAACUAGGG
RNAcentral lists this ribosomal RNA (467 nucleotides) under uncultured bacterium. RNAcentral's name for it is "partial 16S ribosomal RNA". It matches the Rfam family "Bacterial small subunit ribosomal RNA", at positions 28 to 506 of the family's 1533-position model. The record is from RNAcentral.